AUACGGAGGAUGCAAGCGUUAUCCGGAUUUAUUGGGUUUAAAGGGAGCGUAGAUGGAUGUUUAAGUCAGUUGUGAAAGUUCGGGGCUCAACCCCGGAAUUGCAGUUGAUACUGGAUAUCUUGAGUACAGUUGAGGUAGGCGGAAUUCGUGGUGUAGCGGUGAAAUGCAUAGAUAUCACGAAGAACUCCGAUCGCGAAGGCAGCCUUCCGGCCCGUCAACGACGCUCAUGCUCGAAGGUGCGGGUAUCAAACAGGAUUAGAUACCCUGGUAAUCCGCACAGUAAACGAUGGACACCCGCGGUUUGGCCUGUAUGGCUGAGCCGCCAAGCGAAAGCGUUAAGUGUCCCACCUGGGGAGUACGCCGGCAACGGUGAAACUCAAAGGAAUCGACGGGG
RNAcentral lists this ribosomal RNA (394 nucleotides) under uncultured bacterium. Its description in RNAcentral is "partial 16S ribosomal RNA". It matches the Rfam family "Bacterial small subunit ribosomal RNA", at positions 523 to 918 of the family's 1533-position model. The record is from RNAcentral.